This is a non-coding RNA of Schizosaccharomyces pombe (fission yeast), 569 nucleotides long. Lineage: Eukaryota; Fungi; Ascomycota; Schizosaccharomycetes; Schizosaccharomycetales; Schizosaccharomycetaceae. The record is from the annotation of a GenBank genome assembly.
UUUCGACAAAAUUAAGCAGCAGUCGAGUCUUCAUUAUCCGGCAAAUUAAACAAUCCAAACCAUAAAUCGUCACCAGUACUAGUAUCUUUUAAAAAUUUGUCGAAGUCAAAAUCAUUUAGAAGAGCCGCAUCGAUGUCUGUUGAAUUUCCAACAUCCAAUAAUUGAUUGUCUGAAGAUUUAGUGGCAACUGUGGUAGACUCCGUAGGUGCAGAAGGAGUCGCGGAAGUAUCAGGAUUUGAUUUUCCUGACUGAUUUUGAUUAUCCAACUCAGAAUCGGAUUUGUGAACAUUUGCUCCUUGCGAUGGUUCCAAAGCAGGACCUACACUUGUUGCUUCAUUUGUUGAUGAUUCGGGGUUGGUAGUGUUGACGGUCGGUGCUGGAGUUGGAGCAUUUGAAUUAGCAGAAGAAGGCUUUUGUUUUGAUCGAACGUCCAAUGGAGAACUGGCAUUUGGAGUGGGUCGCGAUGAAUGAGUUUGUUGUAAUUGCCAAUUCCCCAUAACGUCCAUUCCAUUGUCCGCAUUAUUUGUGUCAGAGGUAGAUGAGUUUUCAAUCAGAUUAGAAUAGUUUGA